Molecule: long non-coding RNA, 1461 nt
Organism: Tripterygium wilfordii
Lineage: Eukaryota; Viridiplantae; Streptophyta; Magnoliopsida; Celastrales; Celastraceae
Exons: 3
Source: RefSeq, a predicted model, not a curated record
CUGUGCUCAUGCUACUCUUUGUUCUAAGCUAAUGUAUGGUUUUAGCGAUUUCGUCAUGCAGUAUCCAUUACAUGUGCCCUAUUCUGUGGGUCUGUCUGAUUUGAUAGUAGUCCCUUGGUGUUUAUGGGUGCAGUUGAUUUUGACCUCAUAUAUGGUUUGGGGCUUCUGCGAGUAACACAAUUUACUGCUUCGAAUUUGGCUUCAUCGUCGGGGUUCAUCUUCUUCUAAUUUCCACCGUUGAUUAUGGGUCAAAACAAUCAAUGGUUUGGUAAUGGAUAAGCACGGAAUGCUCAGAACUCUCACAAAGUUAACACUCUCUGUCAGUUCCCGUUUCAACUUCGAUUUCUAAAUUUAUUAACACACUGAAUCUGACUGAACAUGAGGGUGGUUUUAUAAAGGCCCCAUCUGUGAGUGCAAUGGAGCCUGCAGUCUGCACGGUUAUUGAGCUAGCAAAAUUCAAUUUCUAUGCUCUUAGUAGAGGUAGGUGGACUAUUUUUAGAUCUAAUUUGGUUAAUUUUUGUAAGUGAAUUUGACUUUUCCUUUAAUAAUAGUAUAAUAAAAUAAAUUUGAUACUGAUUAAAUUUCAUUUUUAGAUGGAGUGGUAAAUAUGAAGCUCAUCUAUGGGAUGAUAUUUGCUAAAAAAAUGUUCAAGGCAUGGUAAGCACUGUAAUGAACUAUAUCUUUACCGCUUAAUCUAACUAACUCUAUAUUUUUCUGACUUGCUUGGGAUGUAACUUUUUUUGGGUUUUCAUGACGAUUGUUAGUUUAGUUGGGUAAGCUUUGGGAAGAAGUAUAUGGAAAAAAUUCCUUAAAAAAAACAAUAAGAGCUUUUGCGGUCAUAUAAGAUGCUACGUGGAAGAAAAGGCUGUAAGAGCUAAUGAUCUCUGCACAAAAAUAUUGAGACCCAUUAGCCUUUAUCCGUUACCCUGAAGAUAUUCAAUCUUCCACAAAAUUUCCACACUAGAGCCUGCUCAUUUGCUUUUAAGACUCUAAUCCUCCUGAUAUAUUGCUCACAUGGCUAUAUGGAUUCUACUUAUCUAAUGACAACUAUAACAACAUUGAUUGGAGCCUUUCUACUUAUGCUUAUGCUUAUCUAAUCUGAGAACGAUCGGCACCGUGUCUCCACUGCGGGAGGGAGCACUAGAAAGAUCGAACAACAAAGGAGAAGAUGAGAGAUCCAUGUUCAUUUGUUUUCGGUAAUUUUGAAUUUCAAUAGUACAAGUUGUUUGGUUUCCUAUAGGUUUGUCAUUAUGGAUUUAUGAUGAAUUAUGGGAAAGAAUCAGAAUCGAAAUUUGAGAGGGAGAAGAAGGUUUUCUCAAACAUUAAUGAAUAGAGGCGAAUGCUGAAAUCAAGGGUGCAUCCGGUAUUGGUAUAGGACAUUUGAAAGCAGUUUGGCCUCGGGGCACCAGUUUAAAACCAAGGAAUUCAACUUGGUUACAAAAAUUUGUUUAUAUUUGUGGU